CCCUUAGAUGUCCUGGGCCGCACGCGCGCUACACUGAUGCACUCAACGAGUUUUACCUUGGCCGAGAGGCCUGGGCAAUCUUUUAAACCUGCAUCGUGAUAGGGAUAGAUUAUUGCAAUUAUUAAUCUUGAACGAGGAAUUCCUAGUAAACGCAAAUCAUCAAUUUGCAUUGAUUACGUCCCUGCCCUUUGUACACACCGCCCGUCGCACCUACCGAUUGAAUGGUCCGGUGAAGCCUCGGGAUUGUGGCCAGUUCACUUUAUUGGGAGUUGGCUGUGAGAACUUGUCUAAACCUUAUCAUUUAGAGGAAGGUGAAGUCGUAACA
This 325-nucleotide ribosomal RNA is filed under the name uncultured eukaryote. RNAcentral describes it as "partial 18S ribosomal RNA". It matches the Rfam family "Eukaryotic small subunit ribosomal RNA", at positions 1470 to 1796 of the family's 1831-position model. The record is from RNAcentral.